RNAcentral lists this ribosomal RNA (397 nucleotides) under uncultured Lactobacillus sp. RNAcentral describes it as "bacterial SSU rRNA". It matches the Rfam family "Bacterial small subunit ribosomal RNA", at positions 148 to 524 of the family's 1533-position model. The record is from RNAcentral. Lineage: Bacteria; Bacillati; Bacillota; Bacilli; Lactobacillales; Lactobacillaceae.
CCCUGGAAACAGAUGCUAAUACCCGGGAUAACAAACAGAUGAUGCCCUAUCAACUGUUUUAAAAAGAUGGUUCUGCUAUCACUCUUGGGAUGGGACCUGCGGUGCAUUAGCUAGUUGGUAGGGUAACGGCCUACCAAGGCGAUGAUGCGUAGCCGAGUUGAGAGACUGAUCGGCCACAUUGGGACUGAGACACGGCCCAAACUCCUACGGGAGGCAGCAGUAGGGAAUCUUCCACAAUGGACGCAAGUCUGAUGGAGCAACGCCGCGUGAGUGAAGAAGGUUUUCGGAUCGUAAAGCUCUGUUGUUGGUGAAGAAGGAUAGAGGUAGUAACUGGCCUUUAUUUGACGGUAAUCAACCAGAAAGUCACGGCUAACUACGUGCCAGCAGCCGCGGUAAU